ACAGGGAUUGCCCUAGUAACGGCGAGUGAAGCGGCAACAGCUCAAAUUUGAAAUCUGGCCCUCGGGUCCGAGUUGUAAUUUGUAGAGGAUGUUUUUGGUGAGGUACCUUCCGAGUUCCCUGGAACGGGACGCCAUAGAGGGUGAGAGCCCCGUCUGGUUGGAUACCGAUCCUCUGUAAAACUCCUUCAACGAGUCGAGUAGUUUGGGAAUGCUGCUCUAAAUGGGAGGUAUAUGUCUUCUAAAGCUAAAUAUUGGCCAGAGACCGAUAGCGCACAAGUAGAGUGAUCGAAAGAUGAAAAGCACUUUGAAAAGAGAGUUAAAAAGUACGUGAAAUUGUUGAAAGGGAAGCGCUUAUGACCAGACUUGGACUUGGUUGAUCAUCCUGGGUUCUCCCUGGUGCACUCUUCCAGUUCAGGCCAGCAUCAGUUCGGGGCGGGGGAUAAAGGCUUCGGGAAUGUGGCUCCUUCGGGAGUGUUAUAACCCGUUGUGUAAUACCCUGCUUUGGACUGAGGUUCGCGCAUCUGCAAGGAUGCUGGCGUAAUGGUCAUCAGCGACCCGUCUUGAAACACGGACCAAGGAGUCGUCUUCGUAUGCGAGUGUUCGGGUGUUAAACCCCUACGCGUAAUGAAAGUGAACGCAGGUGAGAGCUUCGGCGCAUCAUCGACCGAUCCUGAUGUUCUCGGAUGGAUUUGAGUAAGAGCAUACGGGGCCGGACCCGAAAGAAGGUGAACUAUGCCUGUAUAGGGUGAAGCCAGAGGAAACUCUGGUGGAGGCUCGCAGCGGUUCUGACGUGCAAAUCGAUCGUCAAAUAUGGGCAUGGGGGCGAAAGACUAAUCGA
RNAcentral lists this ribosomal RNA (838 nucleotides) under Cylindrocladiella vitis. RNAcentral's name for it is "eukaryotic LSU rRNA". It matches the Rfam family "Eukaryotic large subunit ribosomal RNA", at positions 68 to 938 of the family's 3401-position model. The record is from RNAcentral. Lineage: Eukaryota; Fungi; Ascomycota; Sordariomycetes; Hypocreales; Nectriaceae.